UGGAGCAGAAGCGCGACUGACGGUACUCACUCUUCGGAGUGAAAGCUGAGGAAACUCCCGACUGCGUGUCGGCACCAGUCCUGUUAAAGCAGGGAGGCGAGAGCCUCGCUCUGGGAACAGAAACGACACCCCCGAAUUGGAUACGACAAUGAUACAGAGAUUCAAUCUGUUGAGGAUCAGUUCGGACCGGUUGAAACGGCCCAACACUGGGUCAGCAAGUCCAAGCGUGCACCUAUGACGUGUCGACCUGAGGUGCAGGGUAGGAUGCUAAGUUCGAUGUCGCAAGAUCUCUUCAUGGUAACAUUGAGAGAUGGAACAAAAUUGGGGUUACUCUCUGGACCA
This 342-nucleotide RNase P RNA is filed under the name Candidatus Thorarchaeota archaeon. Its description in RNAcentral is "RNase P RNA component". It matches the Rfam family "Archaeal RNase P". From Rfam's summary of the family: Ribonuclease P (RNase P) is a ubiquitous endoribonuclease, found in archaea, bacteria and eukarya as well as chloroplasts and mitochondria. Lineage: Archaea; Promethearchaeati; Candidatus Thorarchaeota. The record is from RNAcentral.